GACGAACGCUGGCGGCGUGCUUAACACAUGCAAGUCGAACGGAAAGGCCCUGCUUUUGUGGGGGGCUCGAGUGGCGAACGGGAGAGUAACGCGUGAGUAACCUGCCCUUGACUUUGGGAUAACUUCAGGAAACUGGGGCUAAUACCGGAUAGGAGCUCCUGCGGCAUGGGGGGGGUGGGAAAGGUUCGGCGGUUGGGGCUGGUCGCGCGGCUUAUCAGCCUGUUGGUGGGGUAGUGGCUUACCAAGGCUUUGACGGGUAGCCGGCCUGAGAGGGUGACCGGCCCCAUUGGGACUGAGAUGCGGCCCAGCCUCCUACGGGAGGGCGCAGUGGGGAAUAUUGCGCAAUGGGCGGAACCCUGAUGCAGCAACGCCGCGUGGGGGAUGACGGCCUUCGGGUUGUAAACCGCUUCCGCCUGUGACGAAGCGUGAGUGACGGUAAUGGGUAAAGAAGCACCGGCUAACUACGUG
This 468-nucleotide ribosomal RNA is filed under the name uncultured bacterium. Its description in RNAcentral is "partial 16S ribosomal RNA". It matches the Rfam family "Bacterial small subunit ribosomal RNA", at positions 28 to 507 of the family's 1533-position model. The record is from RNAcentral.